This is a long non-coding RNA of Anser cygnoides (Swan goose), 1439 nucleotides long. The record is from Ensembl. Lineage: Eukaryota; Metazoa; Chordata; Aves; Anseriformes; Anatidae.
AUGGGCUUUUCUCAGUGUUGGGGCCGGAGGGGAGGUGGUUUUUCCUCACAGUUGGGGCUUCAUGGGACGGGGCUUUUCCUCAGGGUUGGGGCCAGAGGGGAAGGGGUUUUUCCUGAAGGUUGGUGCUGGAGGGGAAGGGGCUUUUACUCAGGGUUGGAAGUUUUUCCUCAGGGUUGGGGCAGGAUGGGAAGGGUCUUUUACUCAGGAUUGAGGCUGGAGGGAAGGGGCUUUUUCUCAGGUUUGGGACAGGGGUGGAAGUGGCUUUUCCUCAGUGUUGGUGGCAGAGAGGAAUGGGCUUUUCUCAGGGUUGGGGCUGGAGGGGAAGGGGUUUUCCCUCAGGGUUGGGGCUUCAUGGGAAGGUGCUUUUCCUCAGAGUUGGGUCAGGAGUUGAUGGGGCUUUUCCUCAGGGUUGGGUCCGGAGUUGAUGGGGCUUUUCCUCAGGGUUGGGGUCGGAGGGGAAGGAGUUUUUCCUCAGGGUUGGGGCUUCAUGGGUUGAUUGGGCUUUUCCUAGGGUUGGGUGUGGAGUUGAUGGGGCUUUUCCUCAGGUUUUGGGCCAGAGGGGAAUGGGCUAUUUCUCAGGGUUGGUGCAGGAGAGGAAUGGGCUUUUGCUUAGUGUUGGGGCCUGAGGGGAAGGGGAUUUUGUUUGGGGUUGGGGCCAGAGGUGAAGGGGCUUUUCCUCAGGGUUGGGGCCAGAGGGGAAGGGGUUUCUCCUCAGGGUUGGGGCCGGACCUGAAGGGCCUUUUCCUCAGGCUUGGGGCCGGACCUGAAGGGCCUUUUCCUCAGGAUUGGGCCUCAUGGAUAGUGGUUUUUCCUCAGGGUUGGGGAUUUUGAAGAAAAUGGGUUAUAUUUUUCUUAACACUACAAGAAAAGCUAGAGAGUUAGUAUUUCCUGAAGACUCAUCCAGUAUAUUUAAGAAUAGAGUGGUGUAUGCAUGACUACAAAUUAAGAAGUUGGGGAUCAUGAUAGUUCUUCUUGGGUCAGGAGUUGAUGGGGCUUUUCCUCAGGCUUAGGGCUGGAGGGGAAGGCGCUUUUCCUCAGGGUUGGGGAUUUUCCUCAGGGUUGCUGCCGGAGGGGAAGGGUUUUUUCUUUAUGCUUGGCGCUGGAUGGGAAGGGAUUUUUCCUCAGGGUUCGGGCUGGAGGCGAAGGGGCUUUUCCUCAGGGUUGGGGCUGGAGGGGAAGGGGCUUUUCCUUAGCGUUCGGGCCGGAGGGGAAGGGGCUUUUCCUCAGGGUUGUGGCUGGAGCGGAAGGGGCUUUUCCUCAGUGUUGGGGCUGGAGGGGAAGGGGUUUUCCGUCAGGGUUGGGGAUUUUCCUCAGAGUUGCUGCCGGAGGGGAAGGGGUUUUUCCUGAGCGUUGGCGCUGGAUGGGAAGGGGCUCUUCCUCAGGGUUGGGGCUGGAAUGAAAGGGGCUUUUCCUGAGGGUUGGGGCCGGAGGGGAAGGGG